Molecule: ribosomal RNA, 449 nt
Filed under: uncultured bacterium
Lineage: Bacteria
Description: partial 16S ribosomal RNA
Rfam family: Bacterial small subunit ribosomal RNA
Source: RNAcentral
AGCGAGCGCUGGCGGCAGGCCUAACACAUGCAAGUCGAACGAACUCUUCGGAGUUAGAGGCGGACGGGUGAGUAACACGUGGGAACGUGCCUUUAGGUUCGGAAUAACUCAGGGAAACUUGCGCUAAUACCGAAUGUGCCCUUCGGGGGAAAGAUUUAUCGCCUUUAGAGCGGCCCGCGUCUGAUUAGCUAGUUGGUGAGGUAAUGGCUCACCAAGGCGACGAUCAGUAGCUGGUCUGAGAGGAUGAUCAGCCACAUUGGGACUGAGACACGGCCCAAACUCCUACGGGAGGCAGCAGUGGGGAAUCUUGCGCAAUGGGCGAAAGCCUGACGCAGCCAUGCCGCGUGAAUGAUGAAGGUCUUAGGAUUGUAAAAUUCUUUCACCGGGGACGAUAAUGACGGUACCCGGAGAAGAAGCCCCGGCUAACUUCGUGCCAGCCGCCGCGGUAA